Molecule: ribosomal RNA, 274 nt
Filed under: uncultured bacterium
Lineage: Bacteria
Description: partial 16S ribosomal RNA
Rfam family: Bacterial small subunit ribosomal RNA
Source: RNAcentral
AUACGGAGGGUGCAAGCGUUAUGCGGAAUCACUGGGCGUAAAGGACGCGUAGGCGGGUUGGCAAGUCAGAUGUGAAAUCCUACAGCUUAACUGUAGAACUGCAUUUGAAACUGCUAACCUAGAGUAUGAGAGGGGGAGAUGGAAUUAGUGGUGUAGGGGUAAAAUCCGUAGAUAUCACUAGGAAUACCGAAAGCGAAGGCGAUCUCCUGGAACAUAACUGACGCUAAGGCGUGAAAGCGUGGGGAGCAAACAGGAUUAGAAACCCGGGUAGUCC